AACCCUAGAUAGACCCAAAAGAAUUGGACAAUUGGUUGAUGGGUUUACGAAGGUAUGAAUCCGAAUAGCUUGGAGAAAAAGACAAAAAAAAAAAAAAAGAAAAUCCGAAUAGCGAUCCAAGAAUGGGCUGCGCUAUUCGGAAGGCAAAGAGCCCAAUGGUAAAAUAGCGCCGCUUCUGCCAUUUUCAGACAGACGCCAAUCCCAUGCUUUCCUUUUCUUCAUUUCCCCUCAGCGGUUCUCUCGAGCUCACGCUUGCUUCUCUUCCUAUCUUCUGAACCCCUUGAUUUUUAUCAAUUAGGGUUCUUAAUUCUCACUCAUACUUGCAUGGAUAGUCACAGGGGAGACGGCUACGGCGGCACCUCCAACAAUCCCACCGCCGCUUCUGACAACCAACACUCCUACCAUAAUCGUCGAUCCUCUCGCUUCUCAGAUGGUCCUUCCCGAUUCUCUGAUGCUCCCGUCAACCGCUAUUCCACAAAUGGUACCAAUACUUCCAGCAAUUACGACCGCCGCAGCCCCACCAAUUAUAGUGGUGGCGGCGGCGGUCACCGCCUUUUCGACAGUCUUCUCCGUCAUCCUCCUUCUGCUGGUGGUGCUGAAGGAAUGGGAGGGUUUGAACCACUUGGAGGCGGUGGUGCUGCCGGUACCGGUGGAAUUCGCGCAAUGGGCGGAGGUGGAGGUUUUGGGUCUAAUUACCAGGCACCGCCACCGCUGAUUCCGCAUCAGCCUCUGUCGGGACAGAAACGAGGGUAUCCAUUCAUUGGCCGCGGGAGUUCUCCUGAUCGCUUUGAUGGUGGUAGCUUUGCCAAACUCUUUGUGGGAUCUGUUCCACGGACUGCUACUGAAGGAGAUAUUCGCCCCUUAUUUGAACAACAUGGAAAUGUGAUAGAGGUUUCCUUGAUCAAAGAUAAGAGAACAGGACAGCAACAAGGUUGUUGUUUUGUUAAAUAUGCAACUUCUGAAGAAGCUGAUAGGGCUAUGAGAGCUCUGCACAAUCAACAUACUCUUCCUGGAGGAGUAGGUCCUAUCCAAGUAAGAUAUGCUGACGGGGAGAGAGAGCGCCUUGGUGCAGUUGAGUACAAAUUGUUUGUUGGGUCACUGAACAAACAAGCUACAGAAAGGGAAGUUGAGGAAAUUUUUUCACCAUAUGGUCAUGUUGAAGAUGUCUAUCUCAUGCGUGAUGAAAUGAAGCAAAGCCGUGGAUGUGGAUUUGUUAAAUACUCUGAUAAAGAAAUGGCAAUGCGAGCUAUAAAUGCUCUCAAUGGGAUUUACAGAAUGAAAGGUUGUGAUCAACCGUUGAUUGUUCGGUUUGCUGAUCCAAAGAGGCCCAGACCUGGAGAUUCAAGGGGUGGUCCUGCACUCGGAGGUCCAGGUUUUGGCACUCGAUUUCAAGUUCCAAGGCCCAGAUCGGCAUCCAAUUUUAGUGAUCCUAUGGGUGAUGGAGGUCCACCUAAUGCUUGUCUUCCAAUAAGUCGACAAAAUAUGGGGCCUUCCUCCAAUGCUGGUGUCUCUGGUUUUGGGAGUCAGUUGCUUCCUAGGUCUGGUGAUCUAGCAACGCCUUUAAAUCAGGGUGGCCCUCCUGAUGGUGCUCCUUCUGGACAUGUUUUUUCUGCUGCACAACUGAAUUUUAACCAGCAUUUACAUCAAUUCCCACCAGUUGGCCAGCAUACCUCUCCACCACAGAAACCCCUCCAAUCUCCCCAGCAUUUGCCUUCUCUUCAACUAAACCUUCAAGUUACAUCUUGUUCACAAGCACAAACUUCCCAUGUUGGUCAGUUACAUUCCCCACUUACUGCUAGUCAAACUCCUUUCAGUCAAGCACCACCGUCACAGCAGUAUGUUGGUAUGAGCGGACAGUUAUCUGCUUCUCAAUCUCAGCUGCAGCAGGGUGCCUCAACGGGUAUACCAUUACCAGCACCUUUGAAUAUCAACUUACACUCCCAUUCUGUGUCUGCUGCGACUAAUCAGCAGCAGAUGCCUGCUCCUGUCCAGCAGCAACCGCUUCAGCCUCUUCAACAGUCCCCUUCUCAGUUAGCUCAGAUGUUAUCACAACAGACACAAACUCUGCAAGCAACCUUUCAGUCAUCUCAGCAGGCCUUUUCACAGCUGCAACAACAAUUGCAAAUGAUGCAACCAUCAAAUCAAGGUCUAACAUUGCAGCAGAGUUCUCAGCCUACUAAACAGGAGGGGUCGGGGAUUCCACCAAAAGCAUUUGUUAGUAUGCCAUUUACUAGAGUGGCUGCAGAUGUGCCUCCAUCUACUUCUUCUGCUCCUGUUGCUCCUGUAAUAUCUCAGCCAGUGGCUCCUGCAAAAUGUAAUUGGACAGAGCAUACCUCUGUUGAGGGAUUCAAGUACUAUUACAACAGUGUGACUCGGGAGAGCCGGUGGGAGAAACCAGAGGAACUGACAUUAUUUGAACAACCACCACAGCAGCAGCAACUACAACAAAGAACUCCACUUCAACAACCUCAAGCCCAAUCAAACCCUCAAGUUCUGCCCAUUCAGCAAGUUCCACAAGUACCACGACUUCAAGCUUCGUUCCAAACACAGUUUCACCAGCAGCAGCUGUUGCAACAGCCUUCCUUUCCUUCAUUGGAUGCUGCUUCCGGAGUUGGAGUUCAACAAGAUGAUCAGGUAAUGUCAUCCUUGUAUGAAAUGUUUGCUUCUGUACAAGGAUUUGUCUAUGCAAUAUUUGUCUAAUUUAUGCUUUUGUAAGCACUCAACCAAUCUAACUAUUUAACUAAGGGACUUCUCAUUGAAGAAUAUAAUAUUCCCUCCGUCCUAUACUAUUUGUUCAUUUUUUCUUUUUUUUGGUUGUCCCACGAUUAUUGUCGCACUUUCCUUAUGACUCUAUUUAAUUUUAUCUUAUUUUCAAGAAACUUCUCAAACAUUUCUUAGUAUUUAAUAAAAUUUAAUGUUUUUAAGAUGUGUAUAGUUGGAAAUUUAAUAAAAAAAAUAUCUUUAAUAUGUGUGAAAAAGUAAAGUGGACAAAAAUUAUGGAACAGAUGGAGUAUAUUAUUAUGACUGUGGUUUCUUUGUUAAUGAGUUUAACUCAAUUCUGUGGGGAGUUUUUCUUGCUCCUGGUUUUCAUCUUUCUUCUGGAUGUUUCUGGCUUUGCAGGAACUUGUUUAGGUCUCUUCUUUGCUCUUCUCUUUUCUUUCUUUUUUUUUUUUCCCCUUUCUUGUGCAUGCUCCUAUUUAUUUUCUGUAUACCCACAUUAAUGCUUUUAUCUCAAGUCAUUUCUGCGGCGGGCUUCAGGUUGCUCAAGAGUGGAUGUGGAAGAAUAAGGCAGCAGGAACAUGAGCUGAAGAGUGGAUUCCAGAGCAGCAUAUGACAUGAUUUUGCUGCUAGCAUGCCCAGUGGCAAGGCUAAUUCAAACAAAAAUGGUAGAAAUGAUAACUAUAAUGGUUUCUGCAUCCUAUAGUUUUCUUGGUUUACUCGGGGAAUUUACCGUCCGAGUUAUUGAGUUAGCAAAUUGAGGAUAUGUGCCAUUAGUAAAUUAACAAAUCCAAGGUUAUGUAACAUUUCCUGUAGUUGUUGUAAUACCAUCUUAGUUACAAUUUAUUGCCAUAAAGAAUACCGGUAGAUGGCAUGGCAAAUUGAUACCCGGCAGUUCUUCACGUUUAAGUUGCUGUUUAUUUGGU
RNA transcript from Manihot esculenta (cassava), 3644 nucleotides. It is a transcript of the gene named flowering time control protein FCA, with no coding region annotated. The transcript has 17 exons. NCBI's taxonomy places the organism in Eukaryota, Viridiplantae, Streptophyta, Magnoliopsida, Malpighiales, Euphorbiaceae. The record is from RefSeq and is a predicted model, not a curated record.